AGGGGGAGGGGGGUGUGUGCCGUUUUUAGAUUCGGAAAAGAGGGAAAAAGGAGAGUAGGGACCUCCCACAAAAAUUUGGGAGACCCCUCCUGCAGUUGUGGAUAACCGCCGUCUUGGAUUUGGGACGGGAGGGCAGAUGGAUUUGGGACUGGGAGGAGGGAUCAGGCUCUGGUUUGCGGGGGGCAGAAAGGGGGCAAUGACAGUGGGGACCCCCUCAAAAAAAUUUGGGAGUCUCCCCCCAAAAAUUUGGGUUACCUCCAUUUUGGAUUUGAAGGGGGGCACUGUGGAUGAAGCGUUUUGGAAGGGGGGGAAAGAGAGUGGGCAUCCCUCAAAAAAAACCUGGGAAUCCCCCCCAGUAUUCGAUUUGGGGUGGGAGGUGAGUUUUGGGGAAGGCUCCUGGGGCUCUGUUGUUCUUUUGUGCCCCCUUCGAAAAAUUAAAGUGGGGGGGGAGCAAACUUGGGGGAACUGGGAGUAAUUUGGGAGCACCCUGGGUGAUUUGGGGGGUCCUGGGUGAUUUUGAGGGGCACUGGGUGACCCCCCUCUUUGUGACCCCCCCCAUCUGCAUCCCUCCAUCCCCCUCACCUCAGAUUUUAGGGGCUGAGUCCGGAGCAGCUGCAAGACCCCCCUGCCCGAGACCCUCAGAGAGCAGGAGGCCCUAUGGAGCAGGACGAGCCGGACGUGGUGGAGCUGCAGGACUCAGACGAGGGGGACGUGGUCCGGAGGGUCUUCAUUGCCGAUGAUGGCAUCGUGAGUGACGGUGAGGCCGAGGUGCUGCCACACGAGAUCAUCCGCACAGUGAUCCCGCACAGCCCCCUGCGUGCCC
Zonotrichia albicollis (white-throated sparrow) is the source of this 823-nucleotide non-coding RNA. NCBI's taxonomy places the organism in Eukaryota, Metazoa, Chordata, Aves, Passeriformes, Passerellidae. The record is from RefSeq and is a predicted model, not a curated record.